RNAcentral lists this ribosomal RNA (392 nucleotides) under uncultured bacterium. RNAcentral describes it as "partial 16S ribosomal RNA". It matches the Rfam family "Bacterial small subunit ribosomal RNA", at positions 523 to 918 of the family's 1533-position model. The record is from RNAcentral.
AUACGGAGGAUGCGAGCGUUAUCCGGAUUUAUUGGGUUUAAAGGGUGCGCAGGCGGCCAUUUAAGUCAGCGGUUAAAUCGUGGGGCUCAACCCCAUUCUGCCGUUGAUACUGGGUGGCUUGAUUGCGGUCGAGGUUGGCGGAAUUCGUUGUGUAGCGGUGAAAUGCAUAGAUAUGACGAAGAACACCGAUUGCGUAGGCAGCCGACCAGACCGCAAAUGACGCUCAUGCACGAAGGUGCGGGGAUCGAACAGGAUUAGAUGCCCUGGUAGUCCGCACAGUAAACGAUGAAUACUUGUUUUCGGCGAUAUAAUGUCGGAGGCAAAGCGAAAGCGAUAAGUAUUCCGCCUGGGGAGUACGCCGGCAACGGUGAAACUCAAAUGAAUUGACGGGG